Molecule: ribosomal RNA, 450 nt
Filed under: uncultured bacterium
Lineage: Bacteria
Description: partial 16S ribosomal RNA
Rfam family: Bacterial small subunit ribosomal RNA
Source: RNAcentral
GUGGGGAAUCUUCCGCAAUGGACGAAAGUCUGACGGAGCAACGCCGCGUGAGUGAUGAAGGUCUUCGGAUUGUAAAGCUCUGUUAAUCGGGACGAAAGAGCCUAGUGUGAAUAAUGCUAGGAAGUGACGGUACCGGAAUAGAAAGCCACGGCUAACUACGUGCCAGCAGCCGCGGUAAUACGUAGGUGGCAAGCGUUGUCCGGAAUUAUUGGGCGUAAAGCGCGCGCAGGCGGAUCUGCCAGUCUGUCUUAAAAGUUCGGGGCUUAACCCCGUGAUGGGAUGGAAACUACAGAUCUAGAGUAUCGGAGAGGAAAGUGGAAUUCCUAGUGUAGCGGUGAAAUGCGUAGAUACUAGGAAGAACACCAGUGGCGAAGGCGACUUUCUGGACGAAAACUGACGCUGAGGCGCGAAAGCCAGGGGAGCAAACAGGAUUAGAAACCCCUGUAGUCC